UCAAACUUGGUCAUUUAGAGGAAGUAAAAGUCGUAACAAGGUAACCGUAGGUGAACCUGCGGUUGGAUCAUUACUGAUUUCUAUUGCCCUCGAGUUGAUUCGCAAGAGUCCUUGGGGGUGAUAACUUACCACUGUGCACUUUAUUGUUUUUUGGGUCAGGACUUUGGACUGGCCCAACCAAUUGAAGAAACCAUUAGAAUUCGUCUUAAAUGUUUUUAUUUAAUAAUAAACAACUUUUGACAACGGAUCUCUUGGCUCUCGCAUCGAUGAAAACGCAGC
RNAcentral lists this unclassified non-coding RNA (279 nucleotides) under uncultured fungus. RNAcentral describes it as "partial contains small subunit ribosomal RNA, internal transcribed spacer 1, and 5.8S ribosomal RNA". The stretch from base 1 to 73 matches the Rfam family "Eukaryotic small subunit ribosomal RNA", at positions 1759 to 1831 of the family's 1831-position model. The record is from RNAcentral. Lineage: Eukaryota; Fungi.